UGGCUUCAUGAGAGAGAGCGGGAGGUUGCUGCUCGGUUGUGAUUAGCUUAACCGCCUCUAGUGUGCGUCUAAAUGUCCCACCCCUCACCUCAGCGCCAGGUGAUCCGGUUUUGUUGUAAACAAUGGCGUCAUUGAUAUUGCUUAUCAAUUUGAGCCCGAUUGAGAAUCAGAGGAUAUUAUUGAAGAGGAUCGUGCAGAACCGGUGCAAGCACUGCUUUUAAUGGGUCAAGGCUUUCCUCACCCACAACAUUUCUCUCCACAUCUCGUGGUUUUGAACUACAUCCAGCGCCAUGCAAGACAACUUCAUCAAAGUGUCGCGGGUCCUAACGUGUCAUCCCGCUGAUCAAAAACAUACAGUUCCAUUUUCACCUCUCGCAACUGAGGAGGAGAAAAAAAAAAUCUUCAAAGGACAGUCAGCUUCUUUCUAGCACGCACGUAACAUGGUUUGUGAUGCUGCCAAUUUCUCUGAUAAUUCUCCUCUGGGGAUGGCGUGAAGAAGAGAGGAUAGGAAGAACGGACGGGAUGGGGAACUAAAAGGAGAGAUGUGCGGAAGAAUGCAACAUUUUGGUGCAAAAAAAUAGGGUACACUAAUCUCAGAAUGAGAGAUCGAGAGAAAGAGGAAGAAAGAAAGGAAGUUCUGCAUUUCACUUUUCCAUUCUCCUAAAUCUUAUUCUGUCGGGGAAUGCUAAUCAGAUCCAUUGGUAUAAAGAAAGGAGUUGAUCACUAUGUGCAGUCAGUAUUUUAGAUGCUUGUCGUGGGAAAAUCCACACAGGAAUCGUCCUGACAUUUUCAUCUGCCCUGC
This is a long non-coding RNA of Cyprinus carpio (common carp), 802 nucleotides long. RefSeq lists it as uncharacterized. The record is from RefSeq and is a predicted model, not a curated record. The transcript is spliced from 4 exons. NCBI's taxonomy places the organism in Eukaryota, Metazoa, Chordata, Actinopteri, Cypriniformes, Cyprinidae.